RNAcentral lists this ribosomal RNA (483 nucleotides) under uncultured bacterium. Its description in RNAcentral is "partial 16S ribosomal RNA". It matches the Rfam family "Bacterial small subunit ribosomal RNA", at positions 28 to 507 of the family's 1533-position model. The record is from RNAcentral.
GACGAACGCUGGCGGCGUGCUUAACACAUGCAGGUCGAACGCUGAAGCUCAGCUUUUGUUGGGUGGAUGAGUGGCGAACGGGUGAGUAACACGUGAGUAACCUGCCUCCUUCUUUGGGAUAACGCCCGGAAACGGGUGCUAAUACUGGAUAUUCACUGGUCUUCGCAUGGGGGUUGGUGGAAAGGGUUUUUCUGGUGGGGGAUGGGCUCGCGGCCUAUCAGCUUGUUGGUGGGGUGAUGGCCUACCAAGGCUUUGACGGGUAGCCGGCCUGAGGGGGUGACCGGUCACAUUGGGACUGAGAUACGGCCCAGACUCCUACGGGAGGCAGCAGUGGGGAAUAUUGCACAAUGGGCGCAAGCCUGAUGCAGCGACGCCGCGUGAGGGAUGGAGGCCUUCGGGUUGUGAACCUCUUUCGCUCAUGGUCAAGCCGCAACAAUGGUUGUGGUGAGGGUAGUGGGUAAAGAAGCGCCGGCUAACUACGUG